AAUCCGGUUGAUCCUGCCGGACCUGACUGCUAUCGGAUUGAUACUAAGCCAUGCGAGUCAUUGUAGCAAUACAAGGCAGACGGCUCAGUAACGCGUAGUCAACCUACCCUAUGGACGGGAAUAACCUCGGGAAACUGAGAAUAAUGCCCGAUAGAACAUUAUGCCUGGAAUGGUUUAUGUUCCAAAUGAUUUAUCGCCAUAGGAUGGGACUGCGGCCUAUCAGUUUGUUGGUGAGGUAAUGGCCCACCAAGACUAUUACAGGUACGGGCUCUGAGAGGAGUGGCCCGGAGAUGGGUACUGAGACA
RNAcentral lists this ribosomal RNA (305 nucleotides) under Candidatus Nitrosopumilus sp. RNAcentral's name for it is "bacterial SSU rRNA". It matches the Rfam family "Archaeal small subunit ribosomal RNA", at positions 1 to 310 of the family's 1478-position model. The record is from RNAcentral. Lineage: Archaea; Thermoproteati; Nitrososphaerota; Nitrososphaeria; Nitrosopumilales; Nitrosopumilaceae.